GCGGGGGAAGGUAGCUUGCUACUGGACCUAGCGGCGGACGGGUGAGUAAUGCUUAGGAAUCUGCCUAUUAGUGGGGGACAACAUCUCGAAAGGGAUGCUAAUACCGCAUACGUCCUACGGGAGAAAGCAGGGGAUCUUCGGACCUUGCGCUAAUAGAUGAGCCUAAGUCGGAUUAGCUAGUUGGUGGGGUAAAGGCCUACCAAGGCGACGAUCUGUAGCGGGUCUGAGAGGAUGAUCCGCCACACUGGGACUGAGACACGGCCCAGACUCCUACGGGAGGCAGCAGUGGGGAAUAUUGGACAAUGGGGGGAACCCUGAUCCAGCCAUGCCGCGUGUGUGAAGAAGGCCUUAUGGUUGUAAAGCACUUAAGCGAGGAGGA
RNAcentral lists this ribosomal RNA (379 nucleotides) under Acinetobacter baumannii. Its description in RNAcentral is "bacterial SSU rRNA". It matches the Rfam family "Bacterial small subunit ribosomal RNA", at positions 66 to 448 of the family's 1533-position model. The record is from RNAcentral. Lineage: Bacteria; Pseudomonadati; Pseudomonadota; Gammaproteobacteria; Moraxellales; Moraxellaceae.